RNAcentral lists this ribosomal RNA (484 nucleotides) under Penaeus indicus. RNAcentral's name for it is "partial large subunit ribosomal RNA". It matches the Rfam family "Bacterial large subunit ribosomal RNA", at positions 1830 to 2558 of the family's 2925-position model. Lineage: Eukaryota; Metazoa; Arthropoda; Malacostraca; Decapoda; Penaeidae. The record is from RNAcentral.
CAUGUCUAUAUGGUUGCUAUAUAAAGUCUAGCCUGCCCACUGAUUUAGUUUAAAGGGCCGCGGUAUAUUGACCGUGCGAAGGUAGCAUAAUCAUUAGUCUUUUAAUUGAAGGCUUGUAUGAAUGGUUGGACAAAAAGUAAGCUGUCUCAAUUAUAAUAAUUGAAUUUAACUUUUAAGUGAAAAGGCUUAAAUAAAUUAAGGGGACGAUAAGACCCUAUAAAGCUUGACAAUAAUUUAAUUAUACUAUCAAUUGUUAGUAUAACUUGGUUUUAAUUAAUAUUUGUUGCGUUGGGGCGACGAGAAUAUAAUAGGUAACUGUUCUUAAAUAUUUAAUAACAAAUAUAAUUGGAAAUUAGUAUGAUCCUCUAUUAGCGAUUAAAAGAUUAAGUUACUUUAGGGAUAACAGCGUAAUCUUCUUUGAGAGUCCCUAUCGACAAGAAGGUUUGCGACCUCGAUGUUGAAUUAAGGUAUCCUUAUGAUGCAG